This 385-nucleotide long non-coding RNA is filed under the name Homo sapiens (human). RNAcentral describes it as "HSALNT0179320". The record is from RNAcentral. Lineage: Eukaryota; Metazoa; Chordata; Mammalia; Primates; Hominidae.
CUGGCAGUAAGUGCCUCUCCAUCCUGAGACUGGCAUCACCCUUGUUACUGAUUUUGUGGCCAAUCUUAUUUCAAAACAAUUAUGUAAUCCUUCUCAUUUUUUUCUUUAAAAACCUCUGUCUUUCCUUUACGUCUCGGAGAACACACAUAGUUUACUUUGGCAUGUACAUUCUCAUUGCAGUGCAUUAUUUCCAUAUAAACAUCUUUUAUUUUAGAGAGCCUCUCUGUUACUUAGGUUGACAGGUCCUGUUUUAUUUUAAGUCUAGUAUCUGUUAGUUAUUUUUCCUGAUCUUCUUACUCCUCCCACCCUCUACCCUCCAGUAGGCCCCAGUGUAUGGACAGAUAGUGUUCUAAGGAAAUAAAGCCAAAUUAAAAAAAAGGUUAUA